This 940-nucleotide ribosomal RNA is filed under the name uncultured crenarchaeote. RNAcentral's name for it is "bacterial SSU rRNA". It matches the Rfam family "Archaeal small subunit ribosomal RNA", at positions 1 to 921 of the family's 1478-position model. Lineage: Archaea; Thermoproteati; Thermoproteota. The record is from RNAcentral.
UUCCGGUUGAUCCNGCCGGACCUGACUGCUAUCGGGGUGGGACUAAGACAUGCGAUCGAGCGUCUCUAACUAUGUUGAGACGCGGCAGACGGCUCAGUAACACGUGGCUAACCUACCCUCAGGACGAGGACAAACCCGGGAAACUGGGGCUAAUACUCGAUAGGUGAGUAUGUCUGGAAUGAUUUCUCACUCAAAGGGUAUUGGGAACAUGCUUCCAAUGUCGCCUGGGGAUGGGGCCGCGUCCGAUCAGGUUGUUGGUGAGGUAAUGGCUCACCAAGCCUAUAACCGGUACGGGCCGUGAGAGCGGUAGCCCGGAGAUGGGUACUGAGACAAGGACCCAGGCCCUACGGGGCGCAGCAGUCGCGAAAACUCCGCAAUGCACGAAAGUGUGACGGGGCUACCCCGAGUGCCAUCCGCUGAGGAUGGCUUUUCUUUGGUAUAACUAGCCGAGGGAAUAAGGAGAGGGCAAGACUGGUGUCAGCCGCCGCGGUGAUACCAGCUCUCCGAGUGGUAGGGAUGAUUAUUGGGCUUAAAGCGUCCGUAGCCGGCUUAGCAAGUCUCCUGUUAAAUUCAGCGACCUAAUCGUUGAGCCGCGGGAGAUACUACUAUGCUAGGAGGCGGGAGAGGUCGACGGUACUUCUGGGGUAGGGGUGAAAUCCUAUAAUCCCGGGAGGACCACCAGUGGCGAAGGCUGUCGACUAGAACGCGCUCGACGGUGAGGGACGAAAGCUGGGGGAGCAAACCGGAUUAGAUACCCGGGUAGUCCCAGCCGUAAACGAUGCGGGCUAGGUGUUGGAAUGGCUACGUGCCAUUUCAGUGCCGCAGGGAAACCAUUAAGCCCGCCGCCUGGGGAGUACGGCCGCAAGGCUGAAACUUAAAGGAAUUGGCGGGGGAGCACCACAAGGCGUGAAGCUUGCGGUUCAAUUGGAUUCAACGCCGG